AUGAAUCCGUUGCGACGCCAUCUGGAGUCUCGAGAGUUCGAAAGAACGGGGUGCGGAGCCGACGAAACGCAUAAUAUCUAGUUUAAUAAGAAGAAGAAGACGAAACCUUUAAGGAAACACCAAGCUUUUCGGAUGACAAUGACAGCGAGGGAGAGAAAAUGUCCAAAAAGAAAAUCGACGAAACAAAGAUGAUUCAGAAAUUCCGUGAGUGACCGGCUGGCGUCGAUAUUGUUGGUUUGGCGCUCGGAGAAAGCGUAUUCAAUGUGUUGAGGUCGGAUCCCUUUAAUAUGAAAACUGGAGGAAAAUAUGGCUGUGCUGAAGAAUGCUGAAGAAUGCUGAAGAAUAUAAGCCGAACGACGUAUACAACAUCGGCAUUAGAACACAAUUUAACACGGAGACAAAUAAACGCGACGAAGAAAGUACGGUCAAGUAUAUAGAAGAAGAAUUGUCAAAGCGCAAGAGUAAAAAUAAUAACGAUGCAGCAAAUAGUACAAAUAAUGAUAAGGGAUCAUAUUGCUUGCCAGAGGAAGCAGCGUUGCGUACGAUACUGGAACAGGCAGAGUUUGAGGCAGAGCUCAACCAAUCGUAGUGAGAAAUGCUUUUGAAUCAAAUGCUAUCUGGUAUUUCAGAAGUCAAUCUUGGUAUAGAAGCCAAAAUUCAUAACAUUGAAGCUACAGAGGGGGCAAAAUUUAAACUUCUUUGGGACAAACACAAAAAAAAGACGGACCCUCACAGUUUAUUCCUGCAAAUAUGGCUGUGAAUUUUGUACAACACAACAGAUUCAACAUAGAAGACUCAGAUUUCCAAAAGUUGCAGCAGAAAUUUAACAACAAGAAAAAAUGCAUUACCAAAGAAAACAUUCGAGGAAAACGAAACGAUAAUGGGGAGAAAACGACGGACCAUUACCUUUAUGACAGAUUUAAAAAGCAAUUCAGACGAUUUUAAAUUAGACUUGUAUAAUUAAGUAUGUUAUUAUACUCUGAAUUCAUAUAAGUAAACGUUCGUGAUUUCUUACAUCAGAUGUGUUUUUUUAAUUGUAAUUUAAAUUUAAGAAUCAAGAAACCAAUAAAAAGGAAAUUAAGGAACAAUACAA
Molecule: RNA transcript, 1093 nt
Organism: Monomorium pharaonis (pharaoh ant)
Lineage: Eukaryota; Metazoa; Arthropoda; Insecta; Hymenoptera; Formicidae
Gene name: telomere length and silencing protein 1 homolog
Exons: 7
Source: RefSeq, a predicted model, not a curated record